RNAcentral lists this ribosomal RNA (448 nucleotides) under uncultured bacterium. RNAcentral describes it as "SSU rRNA". It matches the Rfam family "Bacterial small subunit ribosomal RNA", at positions 26 to 518 of the family's 1533-position model. The record is from RNAcentral.
AGAGCGAACGCUGGCGGCAGGCCUAACACAUGCAAGUCGAGCGGCCGUAGCAAUACGGCAGCGGCAGACGGGAGAGUAACACGUGGGAACGCGCCCUUCGGUUCGGAAUAACUCAGGGAAACUUGGGCUAAUACCGGAUACGCCCUUACGGGGAAAGAUUUAUUGCCGAAGGAACGGCCCGCGUCCGAUUAGCUUGUUGGUGAGGUAACGGCUCACCAAGGCGACGAUCGGUAGCUGGUCUGAGAGGAUGACCAGCCUCACUGGGACUGAGACACGGCCCAGACUCCUACGGGAGGCAGCAGUGGGGAAUAUUGGACAAUGGGCGCAAGCCUGAUCCAGCCAUGCCGCGUGGGUGAUGAAGGCCCUAGGGUUGUAAAGCCCUUUCGGCGGGAAGAUAAUGACGGUACCCGCAGAAGAAGCCCCAGCUAACUUCGUGCCAGCACGCCGC